CAGCCGCCGCGGUAAUACGAAGGGGGCUAGCGUUGCUCGGAAUGACUGGGCGUAAAGGGCGCGUAGGCGGCGAUCAAAGUCAGGCGUGAAAUUCCUGGGCUCAACCUGGGGGCUGCGCUUGAUACUUGGUUGCUUGAGUGGGGAAGAGGGUCGUGGAAUUCCCAGUGUAGAGGUGAAAUUCGUAGAUAUUGGGAAGAACACCGGUGGCGAAGGCGGCGACCUGGUCCUUGACUGACGCUGAGGCGCGAAAGCGUGGGGAGCAAACAGGAUUAGAUACCCCAGUAGUCCCUGUCUCUUAUAA
Molecule: ribosomal RNA, 301 nt
Filed under: uncultured bacterium
Lineage: Bacteria
Description: partial 16S ribosomal RNA
Rfam family: Bacterial small subunit ribosomal RNA
Source: RNAcentral